AUGUUUUCCUGUACUCUCUCAUUAGGGUUUAUUACUGAUGGGAACCCCUUUCUUCUGGGCGAUGUUCUGCUUCGUCAGAUUUGCAUUCCUGGUGCCCCACUCCUUCUAACUACAGUGUCUCUCCAAGAACAAGUGAAGCGUCUCACCAAGAUCAGGAUGAUGCAGAGAACCAUGGGGUUACCUCGGGGCCCCCUGAUGCAAACAACACAAAAACAGGCUGCAUUUGGCAUGAUCAGAAUCCAGAGAUCGUGGGUGGCCAUCCCAUCAAGGGGAAUUUGCCACUUACUCAGGAGGAGGAUACGCUGUGAGACUUGGAAGAAACUCCAGUCCUGCAGUCAGUCUUACAUUCGUGUUAACACGAGUGAAAGGUGGGACGUUAGAAAUCCUACUUUGCAGGCGGACGAGAUGGGGAAACGCAGCUUCUCACGUGCUGUGUGAGCGGCGGUGGGAGGCCGAGGCCUUUUCCUCCCCUUCCCCGAGUUCCGCAGCCGCGUGAGCAGAGCCGCUGGCUAGACCGCUGCACCGAAAGCCUCUUUGCGGAAUUUGCGGUCCUCACUUUCCAGCGUGAACCUGUUCUGUGGAGAGACCCUGACUUUGGAGUCCAGCAAGGUGCUUUCUCCACCUCGGUGAGACUGGACAUUUUAACUUGCCUUCGGACAUCAAAGGACCUUGCCUGGUCUGUCAUCUCGCAAGUCACCGAUUAUCUGCUAGUCUGUUACUAUGCCUUUGUACAGGAGAACUGAAAAUGUCAGAUUUAAGGAAGUCUCAAGGUCGACAGGUCCUAUUUGGGGAGCUCUUCAAUGAGCUGUUAUUAGGAUUAUGGCUAUGAUUUUGGUCCUUUCCAGAACCCUGAAUUCAGUUAAAGCUACUGCCUAUCCACCAAGUAGCUCUUUGAGUUUUCAAGAUUUCAAGAAUUAAGUUUGGAGUUCCCGUCGUGGCUCAGUGGGAACGAAUCUGACUAGGAACCAUGAGGUCACGGGUUCAAUCCCUGGCCCUGCUCAGUGGGUUAAGGAUCCAGCAUUGCCGUGAGCUGUGCUGUAGGUCGCAGAUGCGGCUCGGAUCCCCUGUUGCUGUGGCUGUGGUGUAGGCCGGCAGCUACAGCUCUGAUUCAACCCCUAGCCUGGGAACCUUCAUACGCUGGCAAGUGCAGCC
RNAcentral lists this long non-coding RNA (1152 nucleotides) under Sus scrofa (pig). RNAcentral describes it as "lncRNA (ENSSSCG00070001856.1)". Lineage: Eukaryota; Metazoa; Chordata; Mammalia; Artiodactyla; Suidae. The record is from RNAcentral.